UACGUAGGGCUCAAGCGUUGUUCGGAUUCAUUGGGCGUAAAGGGUGCGUAGGCGGCUCGGUAAGUCGGGUGUGAAAUCUCGGAGCUUAACUCCGAAACUGCAUUCGAUACUGCCGUGCUUGAGGACUGGAGAGGAGACUGGAAUUUACGGUGUAGCGGUGAAAUGCGUAGAUAUCGGAAGGAAGACCAGUGGCGAAGGCGGGUCUCUGGACAGUUCCUGACGCUGAGGCACGAAGGUCAGGGGAGCAAACGGG
This 253-nucleotide ribosomal RNA is filed under the name uncultured bacterium. RNAcentral describes it as "partial 16S ribosomal RNA". It matches the Rfam family "Bacterial small subunit ribosomal RNA", at positions 524 to 776 of the family's 1533-position model. The record is from RNAcentral.